CACAGAUUCAGAGUGAGAGAGGGAAAAGCAGACUCCCCGCAGAGUAGGGACCAGAUGCAGGGUUCCAUCCCAGGACCCUAGGAUCACGACCUGAGCCGAAGGCAGACGCUUAACCAUCUGAGCCAUCCAGGCACCCUCAAACGGUGUUUUUGAAAUUGUUUCUUGUAUGUCAUUUAUAUCUUAAAGCUGUUAAAGAAAGAAAAAAAAAAGACACUAAGGUUAAUGUGCCUGACAGGUCUGAGGGCUCGAGUGGGUUGCGCAUUCAGAUUUCGCUGGCUAGACGAAGCGGGUGACAGCCUCCUGGAGGGACCUGGAUCCCACGCGGGCACCGGUGAGGACGAGAGACAGGUCCAUAGGUCAUUACUCCAGGGGGUACUAGCCUGCGUGGGGCGGCCACUAAGGAAGUGAGCUCAGCUGCGCAUGCGUCCGGCCCGGCCAGUCGAAAGACAGUCAUCCGUCUUUUGUUUUUCAAAAUUAACAAAAUAUGCCUUAAUAUUUGCCCGGAAGAGUGUGAAACAUUCACUCCUGGCCUCUCUUUCACUUGGUUUAUUCUUGUUUGGACGAACGAAGGGGAAGAGGCCGUGGGUCGAGCCCGGCAUCGACGAAGACAGCCAUGCCGGUCAGGCCCCCAACCGCACGCUGCUAUAAAUAGCUGGGCCCCGCCAUCGCCGCUCUUUUUGUGCGACGCUCUGACUCCUUCAGUUUGGGCAUGUUGCGGUGCCGCUGGGAGCAGCUGGGGCCCCCUCCCCUACACCAAGGGGAGGCGGCGGCCCCGGCGUCCUGCGCUGUCUUCGCACGGCUUCCUGCGUGCCCCUGGUCCUCGCAGGCUGGACCGCAGCACCACGAGGGUGUUUUAAGAUGUCCGCCGGUGCGUUACCGUUGAAUGAACCAUGAUUAUUCUGGAAGCCCUUUCAGAUGAG
Molecule: long non-coding RNA, 920 nt
Filed under: Ursus maritimus (polar bear)
Lineage: Eukaryota; Metazoa; Chordata; Mammalia; Carnivora; Ursidae
Description: lncRNA (ENSUMAG00000013407.1)
Source: RNAcentral